UUGAUCAUGGCUCAGGAUGAACGCUGGCGGCGUGNNUAAUACAUGCAAGUCGAGCGAACAGAUAAGGAGCUUGCUCCUUUGACGUUAGCGGCGGACGGGUGAGUAACACGUGGAUAACCUACCUAUAAGACUGGGAUAACUUCGGGAAACCGGAGCUAAUACCGGAUAACAUAUUGAACCGCAUGGUUCAAUAGUGAAAGGCGGCUUUGCUGUCACUUAUAGAUGGAUCCGCGCCGUAUUAGCUAGUUGGUAAGGUAACGGCUUACCAAGGCAACGAUACGUAGCCGACCUGAGAGGGUGAUCGGCCACACUGGAAGUGAGACACGGUCCAGACUCCUACGGGAGGCAGCAGUAGGGAAUCUUCCGCAAUGGGCGAAAGCCUGACGGAGCAACGCCGCGUGAGUGAUGAAGGUCUUCGGAUNNUAAAACUCUGUUAUCAGGGAAGAACAAAUGUGUAAGUAACUGUGCACAUCUUGACGGUACCUGAUCAGAAAGCCACGGCUAACUACGUGCCAGCAGCCGCG
RNAcentral lists this ribosomal RNA (524 nucleotides) under Staphylococcus sp. Its description in RNAcentral is "bacterial SSU rRNA". It matches the Rfam family "Bacterial small subunit ribosomal RNA", at positions 13 to 519 of the family's 1533-position model. The record is from RNAcentral. Lineage: Bacteria; Bacillati; Bacillota; Bacilli; Caryophanales; Staphylococcaceae.